This 24-nucleotide non-coding RNA is filed under the name Cricetulus griseus (Chinese hamster). Lineage: Eukaryota; Metazoa; Chordata; Mammalia; Rodentia; Cricetidae. The record is from RNAcentral.
GAGAUACAUGUCACUGUUGGAGCC